GGUACCGUCGACGGUAGGUAAGUUUCGGAUUACCGUCGGCACGAGGACGAACGCUGGCGGCGUGCUUAACACAUGCAAGUCGAACGGAAAGGCCUGCUUUUGUGGGGUGCUCGAGUGGCGAACGGGUGAGUAACACGUGAGUAACCUGCCCUUGACUUUGGGAUAACUCAGGAAACUGGGCGUAAUACCGGAUAGGAGCUCCUGCUGCAUGGUGGGGGUUGGAAAGUUUCGGCGGUCGGGGAUGGACUCGCGGCUUAUCAGCUUGUUGGUGGGGUAGUGGCUUACCAAGGCUUUGACGGGUAGCCGGCCUGAGAGGGUGACCGGCCACAUUGGGACUGAGAUACGGCCCAGACUCCUACGGGAGGCAGCAGUGGGGAAUAUUGCACAAUGGGCUGAAGCCUGAUGCAGCAACGCCGCGUGCGGGAUGACGGCCUUCGGGUUGUAAACCGCUUUCGCCUGUGACGAAGCGUGAGUGACGGUAAUGGGUAAAGAAGCACCGGCUAACUACGUG
This 511-nucleotide ribosomal RNA is filed under the name uncultured Propionibacterium sp. Its description in RNAcentral is "bacterial SSU rRNA". It matches the Rfam family "Bacterial small subunit ribosomal RNA", at positions 1 to 507 of the family's 1533-position model. The record is from RNAcentral. Lineage: Bacteria; Bacillati; Actinomycetota; Actinomycetes; Propionibacteriales; Propionibacteriaceae.